UAGGGAAUCUUGGACAAUGGGCGAAAGCCUGAUCCAGCCAUGCCGCGUGAGUGAUGAAGGCCUUAGGGUUGUAAAGCUCUUUCGCCAGGGAAGAUAAUGACGGUACCUGGAUAAGAAGCCCCGGCAAACUUCGUGCCAGCAGCCGCGGUAAUACGAAGGGGGCUAGCGUUGUUCGGAAUUACUGGGCGUAAAGCGCACGUAGGCGGUUUUCCAAGUUGGAGGUGAAAUCCCUGGGCUCAACCCGGGAACU
This 250-nucleotide ribosomal RNA is filed under the name uncultured bacterium. RNAcentral's name for it is "partial 16S ribosomal RNA". It matches the Rfam family "Bacterial small subunit ribosomal RNA", at positions 355 to 622 of the family's 1533-position model. The record is from RNAcentral.